This 531-nucleotide ribosomal RNA is filed under the name uncultured bacterium. Its description in RNAcentral is "bacterial SSU rRNA". It matches the Rfam family "Bacterial small subunit ribosomal RNA", at positions 977 to 1509 of the family's 1533-position model. The record is from RNAcentral.
GGCCUUGACAUACUAAGAACUUCCAGAGAUGGAUUGGUGCCUUCGGGAACUUAGAUACAGGUGCUGCAUGGCUGUCGUCAGCUCGUGUCGUGAGAUGGUUGGGUUAAGUCCCGCAACGAGCGCAACCUUUUCCUAUUUGCCAGCGGGUCAUGCCGGGAACUUUAAGGAUACUGCCAGUGACAAACUGGAGGAAGGCGGGGACGACGUCAAGUCAUCAUGGCCCUUACGGCCAGGGCUACACACGUGCUACAAUGGUCGGUACAAAGGGUUGCUACCUCGCGAGAGGAUGCUAAUCUCAAAAAGCCGAUCGUAGUCCGGAUCGCAGUCUGCAACUCGACUGCGUGAAGUCGGAAUCGCUAGUAAUCGCGGAUCAGAAUGCCGCGGUGAAUACGUUCCCGGGCCUUGUACACACCGCCCGUCACACCAUGGGAGUUUGUUGCACCAGAAGUAGGUAGUCUAACCGCAAGGAGGACGCUUACCACGGUGUGGCCGAUGACUGGGGUGAAGUCGUAACAAGGUAAGCGUAGAUGA